This 254-nucleotide ribosomal RNA is filed under the name uncultured bacterium. RNAcentral's name for it is "partial 16S ribosomal RNA". It matches the Rfam family "Bacterial small subunit ribosomal RNA", at positions 524 to 776 of the family's 1533-position model. The record is from RNAcentral.
UACGUGAGGUGCAAGCGUUAUCCGGAUUUACUGGGCGUAAAGCGUUCCGUCGGUGACCUAACAAGUCUUCUGUUUAAGCCUAGGGCUCAACUCUAGAAAAGCAGGGGAAACUGUUAGGAUUGAGUUUGUUCGGGGAAGCUGGAAUUCUCGGUGGAGGGGUGAAAUCCGUAGAUAUCGAGAGGAACACCAGUCGCGAAGGCGGGCUUCUAGGACACAACUGACACUCAGGGACGACAGCUAGGGGAGCAAAAGGG